GGUUCAUUAAUGCCAGGAGAAGAAUAGUACAGCCCAUGAUUGACCAGUCAAAUCGAGCAGGUUUUCUUCUUGAUCCUUCAGUGAGUCAAGGAGCAGCGUACAGUCCGGAGGGCCAGCCCAUGGGCAGCUUUGUACUGGACGGCCAGCAGCACAUGGGGAUCCGACCAGCUGGGCCUAUGAGUGGAAUGGGGAUGAAUAUGGGCAUGGAUGGGCAAUGGCACUACAUGUAACCUCCAACUUGUAAAGCAAAACGCAAAGAAAAAGGGGGAAGUCUGCAAGGCAUGCCAGGGGAGUACGUACCUCAGAGUGGUCCUAUGGGCAUGCGCAUGGCCCCGCAAAGUUACACCCCUCCUCAUCAGAUGACACCUCACCCCACCCAGCUUCAACACGGACCCUCCCUCCACCCCUAACUGCCCGGCCCCCAUCACCUUCAUCACACCCACCAUCCCCAUCACCCAGCCAUGCUGAUGCACGGAGGACCCCCCUCUCAACCAGGAAUCCCCAUGUCUGCACAUAGCCCCCGCCACCCCCCGCUGAGCACCAUUGACCCCAGCGCCGGAGGACAAGGCCUGGACAUCCAUGCCCAAUUGUAUAAGGGAACUUUACUACCACAAUGACGUCAACAUCAUCAACAACAACAACAGCAGCUACUAAGAGAAAAAAAGAUCAACAACAACAACCCUACAACAAAGAUAUUUUCAGAAAACAUUUCAGAAUAAAAGCGCAAAGCCUUUUGACCGGAAUUAGACAUUGAAAACAGAAUUCCAGAUGAGCUGUGAUGAUUUUUUCUUCUUCUUUUUUUUUUUUACUUGUCAAUUUUGUUACUUUCAUCCAAAUGGAGGACCAAGCUGACAUAAACACUUUGUAAAGUCUUGGGCUUUUGUUACAGAUCAGCAGAAGAUGUUCUGACAACGGACACGUGCAAACACGGACACCCACACAAACUCAAGACACACACAUACUAACACAGUACCCACUCUCUCCAGUGACGCGUUCAACUAAUUUUCAAAUGAAAUCACUCUGGAAAAUUGAGAGAAAAAAAGAGAAGAAAAGAUUCCCAAGAGUUAUAACUACUGUAGCAUACAAAUUAUAGAAACAAAGUUAAAACUUGUGCAUUUUUCGUUGAUCACUCAAUUUAUGUUUCCUGAGCUAGUUCUAGAAUAAAAGGUUAACCCUUUCUCUCACACUGUGUGUGCUCCUUCCUGGAGGAGAAACUGUCUCGGUGGCGCAGCAGCACUAUAAAAAAGAAAAGAUGGAACAUCUCAACAACGGACUCCCAUUCGCUCCCAACCAGAGCAACAAGCAGAACGGGCGCUGUCCCCCAUAGAGAACAGGGCAUGAUGGGAAAAGGCUGCUAAAUGACACCUGAUCUCUCCAGAAGAUUCAGUUUAAAAAUGUUUCAUGCCCCUCUUUUUUUGGUUCAUGAAUGAAUGUUGCCCUGUAGGUAUAUAAAAAAAGUUCUUAGUUUGAAUUGCCCAAGCACUGGAUUGUGUUGGUUUUAUACAUUUUUAUUUUAUUUUAUUUUUUUGUAUCCUGGACUCUCAUUGACAGAGCCUAUUGAAGGAAGCUAGUGGAAAAGCAGCAUCCUACUUUGCUUCUUUGCCUCUGGAUAAACAUACUUGCCAUAUGGACAAUACUGACACAAUGGUGGAUUCUUUGGCACUGGGAGAAACAAUUGAUGGUUGAUGCACCAAAAAACAUAAAAAAGACAAAAAGACCAAAAAAAUACUUAAAUUAUGAACUCAAAGCUUUGGGAAAAAGCUAAGAGAAUAUUGCAACAAACUUCGUACAGAGUUCAGUCUAUUAAUUGUUUCAUGUUAGAUAUUCUAUGUGUUUACCUCAAUUGAAAAAGAAUGUUUUUGCUAGUUUCAGAUCUGCUGUGGCAUUGAUAUUGUAUGUCCAUGAAUUCCUUCCUUUUUCAGCACGUGUUCCUCACUAGAUGAUACAAUGCCAUCUCCCUUAAGCUUUGUCAAAAAUACAUUAUUAAAUACUUGUAUGAGGACUGUGACGUAAUGUUUAAAAGGUGUUCAGUCACAAAUGCUGUAAUAAAUAUUUCAUUUUU
Molecule: long non-coding RNA, 2062 nt
Organism: Salvelinus namaycush (lake trout)
Lineage: Eukaryota; Metazoa; Chordata; Actinopteri; Salmoniformes; Salmonidae
Exons: 4
Source: RefSeq, a predicted model, not a curated record